UACGGAGGGAGCGAGCGUUGUUCGGAAUCACUGGGCGUAAAGAGUGCGUAGGCUGUUAUACAAGUCAGGAGUGAAAUCCCAGGGCUCAACCCUGGAAUUGCUUUUGAGACUGUAUGACUAGAGAUCUAGAGAGGUUGGGGGAAUUCCGAGUGUAGAGGUGAAAUUCGCAGAUAUUCGGAGGAACACCAGUGGCGUAGGCGCCCAACUGGCUAGAUACUGACGCUGAGGCACGAAAGCGUGGGGAGCAAACAGG
RNAcentral lists this ribosomal RNA (253 nucleotides) under uncultured bacterium. Its description in RNAcentral is "partial 16S ribosomal RNA". It matches the Rfam family "Bacterial small subunit ribosomal RNA", at positions 524 to 776 of the family's 1533-position model. The record is from RNAcentral.